GAGUUUGAUCCUGGCUCAGGACGAACGCUGGCGGCGUGCCUAACACAUGCAAGUCGAACGGAGAACUCAAAAAGCUUGCUUUGAGAGUUCUUAGUGGCGGACGGGUGAGUAACGCGUGGGCAACCUCCCCCUUAAACCGGGACAACCCUUGGAAACGAGGGCUAAUACCGGAUACACUUUUCUGAGGACAUCCUCGGGAAAGGAAAGGCGGCCUCUGAAGAUGCUGCCGAUAAGGGAUGGACCCGCGUCUGAUUAGCUGGUUGGUGGGGUAAAGGCCUACCAAGGCGACGAUCAGUAGCCGGCCUGAGAGGGUGAACGGCCACACUGGGACUGAGACACGGCCCAGACUCCUACGGGAGGCAGCAGUGGGGAAUCUUCCGCAAUGGACGAAAGUCUGACGGAGCAACGCCGCGUGUAUGACGAAGGCCUUCGGGUUGUAAAGUACUGUCUUUAGGGACGAACGGUAUCUAUGUGAACAAUGUAGGUACAUGACGGUACCUAAGGAGGAAGCCCCGGCUAACUACGUGCCAGCAGCCGCGGUAAUACGUAGGGGGCGAGCGUUGUCCGGAAUCAUUGGGCGUAAAGGGCGCGUAGGCGGAUUUUUAAGUCUGGUGUGAAAACUUGGGGCUCAACCCCAAGCCUGCAUCGGAAACUGGGAAUCUUGAGGACAGGAGAGGAAAGUGGAAUUCCACGUGUAGCGGUGAAAUGCGUAGAGAU
RNAcentral lists this ribosomal RNA (717 nucleotides) under uncultured Desulfitobacterium sp. RNAcentral describes it as "bacterial SSU rRNA". It matches the Rfam family "Bacterial small subunit ribosomal RNA", at positions 9 to 697 of the family's 1533-position model. The record is from RNAcentral. Lineage: Bacteria; Bacillati; Bacillota; Clostridia; Eubacteriales; Desulfitobacteriaceae.